GACGAACGCUGGCGGCGUGCCUAAUACAUGCAAGUCGAACGCAAAACUUUCACCGAAUGCUUGCAUUCACGAAAGUUUUGAGUGGCGAACGGGUGAGUAACACGUGGGUAACCUGCCCAGAAGAGGGGGAUAACACUUGGAAACAGGUGCUAAUACCGCAUAAUAACAAAAACCGCAUGGUUUUUGUUUGAAAGAUGGUUUUGCUAUCACUUCUGGAUGGACCCGCGGCGUAUUAGCUAGUUGGUAAGGUAAAGGCUUACCAAGGCAAUGAUACGUAGCCGAACUGAGAGGUUAAUCGGCCACAUUGGGACUGAGACACGGCCCAAACUCCUACGGGAGGCAGCAGUAGGGAAUCUUCCACAAUGGACGAGAGUCUGAUGGAGCAACGCCGCGUGAGUGAAGAAGGUUUUCGGAUCGUAAAACUCUGUUGUUAGGGAAGAACGUGUGUGAGAGUAACUGCUCAUGCAGUGACGGUAUCUAACCAGAAAGCCACGGCUAACUACGUGCCAGCCGCCGCAGUAA
Molecule: ribosomal RNA, 522 nt
Filed under: uncultured bacterium
Lineage: Bacteria
Description: partial 16S ribosomal RNA
Rfam family: Bacterial small subunit ribosomal RNA
Source: RNAcentral